CUGAGUUUACUUUACUAUAAACCAAACGCUUGCCAAUAUGAACACAUUUGUCAUUUUUAGCAGUAGUUUAGCAAGCUGAAGAGAGUCGUGUUGCACCACGUGACCGUGUGUUUUCACCACCAAUUGGACGACGAGUCAUUCAUUGUUAUUGUAAAAAGAGCGUGUCUUGUUUAGUGUCGUUAUGAAAUGUUACACUAGCCGUUUGGCUCGUUAAAGGACUUCAAGAAUACACAAAAAGCAGCAGCUAAACAUUUUAAUCCUGGGGACCUGGAUGUGAACCUGAGUGGCAGAUCUUUUGUGAUCACUGGGACCAACAGCGGCGUUGGAAAAGCUACUGCCCAUGAAAUAGCCAAAAUAGGUGGGACGUUCCACCUAGUGUGUCGUAACAAGGGACGGGCAGAGGAGGCAAAAGAGGUCAUUGUGGAACAGAGUAAAAACCAGAAUGUCCAUGUUCAUAUCGUUGGCAUGUCCAGUGCAAGACAAGUGUGGGAAUUUGCUGAACGUUUUGCAAAAAGCAACAUCGUACAUUUACUGCUGGUUCACAUUCUCCUCAUACGUCCUCUGCUGGUCCGCUCUCAACCUCUCCUGGACAACCAGCUGCUCCUCCAUGGCUCGAUUCUCCUGCUCAGAUGCCUCCCUUCUUGCUUGCUAGGCUAAAGAGGGAGAGAGUAUGAGUGACAGAGAGAGACCAAGGGAAAGAGAGAGUGAUAGCUUCAGUGAGAGACUGGUCUGCUGACAGGAUGGCCUCACCAAAGCUGGCCUUCCUUUCCAAGUACUCCUUCAGUACCUCUUCACCCUGGAACCACCACACAUAAUAUAUAACUUUCAACAUCACAUCAGUGCAUUCAUAACACCUUUGACCAGCAUCCACAAUACAUGAUAAUUACAUAAUAUUCUAAAAUAGCUGAAGCACCACCUCCCCAAAAUACCUUCAC
Oncorhynchus masou masou (cherry salmon) is the source of this 935-nucleotide long non-coding RNA. RefSeq lists it as uncharacterized. Lineage: Eukaryota; Metazoa; Chordata; Actinopteri; Salmoniformes; Salmonidae. The record is from RefSeq and is a predicted model, not a curated record. The transcript is spliced from 6 exons.